RNAcentral lists this transfer RNA (72 nucleotides) under Ornithorhynchus anatinus (platypus). It matches the Rfam family "tRNA". Rfam says of the family: Transfer RNA (tRNA) molecules are approximately 80 nucleotides in length. Their secondary structure includes four short double-helical elements and three loops (D, anti-codon, and T loops). Lineage: Eukaryota; Metazoa; Chordata; Mammalia; Monotremata; Ornithorhynchidae. The record is from Rfam by way of RNAcentral.
UCCUCAUUAGUAUAGUGGUGAGUAUCCUUGCUUGUCAUGCAGGAGAUCGGGGUUCCAUUCUCUGACAGGGAG